AGUUGGAUUGACAAUACAGCACCCUUAGGAGCACUGCUAGGGAACUGCUUGCAUGGAAUACUGGCAGGGUAUUCCCAUGGUGUAGCUUUAAUUCAUACCAGCAAAACUCUAAGUGUGUUUCUGCAGAAAGGAGAGUUUGAGGGUUUCUUCCCUCAUAUAAUAGCAUUUGCAGUGUGGUACUGAUGAGGAUCACACCUUUCUGAUUGCUGGCCAAGUUUUUAGUGUAGAUACAGCUAUAGUGCUUAGCCAUGAUAGAACUUGAACUGAAAACCUUAGUAUAUGUAAUAAAUACUAAAUUUUAAAAAAUCUGAAUGUGCAGCAGUACUAAUUAUUUGGCAACAGGAAAAUAAUUCCUUGUUUCUGCAAGCUCCAAGAAGUAAAGCACAGUAGCUGGAGGAAUGGGGGCAGUGGUCAGUUGAUUAACAUUGCCAUCAACUGUCUACAUGAAACCAUUCCAGCAUUCCAGCUACCUUGCUCAUCUUAGCAGACAAACAGGAACUGAUCCACAAACAUAAUGACAACAGUUCCUGAAACACUUAUCCUGGUAGUAAAUUGUAUUCCUGAACAGCAAGCUAUUGAUGAUGGUGUAAUUGUGUUGUAAGAAAAAUAGCUGUUUUAAGGAGAUUUAUCCAUGGGGAUAUUUGCUGGUCGCAAUUUUUAUGCCCCUCUACAGAUUUUUUUCAGUGGCAUAAAAAGCCAAAUGAAAAUUACUCAAUGAAGAACCUCUAUUUUAGACUACUUAUGACACCAGUCUAUAUAUUAAAAAUCAUGUUAAUGAUGAGAAAUGUGUUUUUAUAAGUGUUUAUUACUGAAUAUUACCUAAGAAGAAAAUAUUGUUUCAAUGUCCCAGGUAUUUGAUUUGUAUUACUCUGGCUUUUUGGUUCAUACUGCAGACUGUUGAAAUGAUGCUGUUAAAGCAGAUGACAUGUACUCCAGACAAGACUGUUUUCUUCCUGAACUGGUACUUAAAGGCUCUUAUUUAUUCUGCUCUUUUUGUAUACUCUAUAGAGGAUUUGGUACAAAAAAAAUAAUACCAACAAAACUGGAGUUACUACUGAAGAUUUUAUAUUGUGAACAUGUUUCUUUCCUUGUGUUAAUUUUAUCACACUAUAAACCUGACAAGAUACUACUUUUCCUCUGAAAAAAUACUAGAAAGGAUUCUAGUCUUAAUAUAAAAUAGAAAUUUAUGCUAACAAACCCAAAAUCUGUUGUCUGUGUAUAUAUACGUUUGAUUAAUCCAUAUCCUUUCAUUGGCUUUCCUUCCAAUGUAAAUUUUUCUACAUCUCCUGUCAGUUCCAUACACCCAAAAAAGUCCACCUACUUCUCAAUAAGAGUAACAAGAGACAGGACAGAUUAACUGCAGUGUGACAAAAAGGUACUUGAGGCAGUGUUCCUGUCAUUGUUAAGCCCCUAGAAGGGAUGUGAGGCAAAGCAUUACAGCAAGAAAGCUUGGCAGCUUUGUCCAGUCCUUUGGAACAGCCCUCUUGGUGCCUGUGAAUGACUUGCACCAAAGCCUCGUGUCUGAGUCAGGUUACAGCUGGAGGCUGACUCCAGCAUUGCACAGAAAACAGAGCUUGAACUCUGCUCUAGUGGGGAGAUUCUCUUCUGAGCUCUCUUGUAAAGCAUUUCUUAGUCCUGUCUUAGUCUCUGCAUACUCUUUGUGCUGGUUUUGUUGCAAGAACUACACUUACAGAGAUCUGGGAUUUUGGUAUUGCCAUCAAAUAGUCGGGAGGAAUACAAGCCAGGAAAUGAAACUUGAAUAACCUUAAACCUAAAAGACCUCUUAACAGCAGAAACAGUAGCACAUUUUGCUAUGUGAAAAUAAAAAACUAGGCAUAUAAAAAAACAAGUAAUGAGAUAAAACGUAUUGAAAUUAUUUUACAUCUUAGCAUUUAAAUAAGUGACACAAUUUUUUUUAAAGAAAAAUACAUACUUUCAUGAUCCAAAAAGUUAAAUUGAGAGCUACAGCAGGACAGUGUACAGCAAUAACACCGAUAAAAGUAACAAACCUGAUUUCCUUGCAGGAGUAACUGUAAAUUUAUGACACUGCUAAAUUAAAGGUGCACUCUUUUAUAGUUCAUAUUCCUUGCAUGCUGUAUUAAUCUGAAAUAUUUCUUAUAAACAGAUUAACUUAAUUUUUUCGAGACAGCUCUAUUAGCUAUGCCAAGCACCUUUCAAGAGAAAAUGAUUAGACUAAGUCACUUAAACCACAUCUGGUAAAAUUUAGUCAUGUCAGACCAAAACUUUUUCAGAAAAAUGUACUUGGAUGAGACUGAUAUGUGAAAAAUUCAAAUCUGAGUCACUAAUAAUAGUCCCUGCAGUUUUAUCCUAUUAAUGCUAUAUUGACCCAGUAAAGUCAGUGUUCAAACAUGCUGUUCAGUCAUAUCUACAGGACUAGACUGGCUCAUUUUCAGAGAGCUGUUCCAGUCAUCUGACUUUUUCUAUUUUGUUUUAACGUCACAUUAAUAUGUUGAUGUUUUAUUAAAAUACGGGAGCCCUAAAAUGUGCAAAGAUAGAGGCAAGGCUAAUAGACAGAAUAUACAGCACCACAGCUAGUAUCACAUGCAGAAAUUUCAGCAGUACUGAAAAGGCUUUAAUGAGUCUGCCCUGCUUGGCUACCCUGCGUGUUCCUCACCUUCAGUAAUUUCUCUAAUCAGUACUUCAUACGACAUGGCAACAAAGGACAGCUCUUCUAUUUUUUAGCCAGUUUCUUUUUUGUUUUGAUUUGGUUUUGGUUUUGUUCAAAAAACACAAUAGGAAAGGAAAAUUUCCAUUUUCCAGGAUGUUUUUUUUUCACUCUUUAAAAUCAGGGUAUGUCUGUAUAGUUCUUUCCUGUAUGGUUAAGUCUUGAUGCCAUCAACUAUUCUUAUAUUGCUCCAAAAACACUAACAACAGAAAGAAAAUAUAAACCACUACAUAAAGCAGCUUGCCAAGAAACUAGGGUAUUUUAGUUUCUCUUUGCACUGGCCACACUGAUGGAGCAACAAAUUUUGUUGGAAGACAUCUGAUGAGAAGGAAUAAAAUCAUACAUAGAAAGGCAAAGAGGAGGAAAAAAAUCUAGAUAAGAGUAAACGACUAAGAAUCCUUAUUUCAUACAUAUUUAAGCCCUGGCUAUGCAUAGCUGUGUUAUCCAGAGAGCAGCUUACCUGUGUGACAAAUGCAGACAACCAAAGCUGCCAGGACAUACACAGCACUGUGAGAAUGAGACCAAAAUAAUACCAGGCUAGAUUUUAUCUCAGAAAAAUGUACUUAUCCAGCAUGGACCUCAAUGGAAUAAGCAUUUUGCAAUUAAGCUAUUUCCAUGUAGUCAGUCAAUGCAUUUCUAAACUGGAGAGGCAGGAGCUCUGCCUUUAUUAGUCACACAUGAGGAAGAAAUGGUUUGACGUGAUAAUCAGUGGUUGCUCCAAUGGUAGUGAUUUGGAAAUAGCCAUGCUCAAGACAGAGUGUAUGAGGAAAAUGAGCGGCAAAAUACAGUUCCUGGAGUCGAUGAGACAGACUCUGAUUUAUUCAGAGAACCAGUGGGCAGGAUCCCAUGGGAGGCAGCUCUGAAGGGCAAAGGAGCUCAGGAAAUCUGGCAGCAGGUCUUCAAGGACAACCUCCUCCAAUCAUACAAAUAGCUCCUCCUGAAUACUCAGCAAAACAAGUAGAUCCAUCAGGAGACUGGCCUGGCUAAACAGGAAACUUAUGACAGCACUCCAAUGCAAAAGGACAGAAAUACAGGAAGUAAAAUCAGGGAUAGUCUUCAAAGAAGGAACCUGAAGAACAUGCUCAAUUCUUCCCAAGCAUGAUGGUGUACUGGGUGGCCAACUAGAUGGGUAACCACUGUUCAGAUAACAGGGCUUGUAGGGCAGUACCUGAAGGCCAGUAAUAAAUGGAGUACUGCUGGGAUUUAUCCUGGGCCAUGUUCUAUUUAGUAUCUCUAACAGUGACCUGAAGUAUAGUCACAUCAAGUUUGCAGGGGGAAUCAAACUUUGGACCAAUCAUUAUCCUCAUGAACAGAGGACCUAGACAGGCCGGAAAGACUCGGCAACACAAACCCGUCAACACUCCAAAAAGGCAAACGCAAACCUGCAUUUGGGAAGGAGCAGCCCCUUGCACAACACAGGCUGGGAAAUGACUGGCUGGGGAACAGCUGUGCUGUAAAGUGCCAGGAUCACAGCCGGCUAAACGCGAGCCACCCCUGGAAGCAAAGGGGGUCAGCAGCAUCCGGAGUUGGACUAGGAGAGCACCAUCAAUAAAACAAGGCGAGUCCGACUAAACGCUUUUCACCGUGAGGACACGGUGGCUACAACCCUCAGCAACCCGACUUGACCUCCGGCUGGCCCUGGUGCCGAAGCGGGAUGAACUGACGGGCUCCG
Molecule: long non-coding RNA, 4358 nt
Organism: Taeniopygia guttata (zebra finch)
Lineage: Eukaryota; Metazoa; Chordata; Aves; Passeriformes; Estrildidae
Source: Ensembl